CUGGGACUGAGACMCGGCCCAGAYUCCUACGGGAGGCASCAGUGGGGAAUUUUCCSCAAUGGGSGAAASCCUGACGGAGCAAUACCGCGUGRGGGRGGAAGGYUYUUGGGUUGUAAACCUYUUUUYUCAGGGAAUAAAAAAAUGAAGGUACCUGAGGAAUAAGCWUCGGCUAACUCCGUSCCAGCAGCCGCGGUAAUACGGAGGAUSCAAGCGUUWUCCGGAAUGAUUGGGCGUAAAGGGUCCSCAGGUGGCCCUGUAAKUCUGCUGUUAAAGAGUGAGGCUUAACCUCAUAAGASCAGUGGAAACUACAGAGCUAGAGUGCGUUCGGGGUAGCAGGAAUUCCUGGUGUAGCGGUGAAAUGCGUAGAGAUCAGGAAGAACACCGGUGGSGAAAGCGUGCUACURGGCCGUAACUGACGCUGAGGGACGAAAGYUAGGGGAGCGAAUGGGAUUAGAUACCCCAGUAG
RNAcentral lists this ribosomal RNA (466 nucleotides) under Nostoc sp. IMU019. RNAcentral's name for it is "partial 16S ribosomal RNA". It matches the Rfam family "Bacterial small subunit ribosomal RNA", at positions 313 to 793 of the family's 1533-position model. Lineage: Bacteria; Bacillati; Cyanobacteriota; Cyanophyceae; Nostocales; Nostocaceae. The record is from RNAcentral.